AUUGAACGCUGGCGGAAUGCUUUACACAUGCAAGUCGAACGGCAGCACGGGGCAACCUGGUGGCGAGUGGCGAACGGGUGAGUAAUACAUCGGAACGUGCCCAAUCGUGGGGGAUAACGUAGCGAAAGUUACGCUAAUACCGCAUACGAUCUACGGAUGAAAGCGGGGGAUCGCAAGACCUCGCGCGAAUGGAGCGGCCGAUGUCAGAUUAGGUAGUUGGUGGGGGUAAAGGCUCACCAAGCCGACGAUCUGUAGCUGGUCUGAGAGGACGACCAGCCACACUGGGACUGAGACACGGCCCAGACUCCUACGGGAGGCAGCAGUGGGGAAUUUUGGACAAUGGGCGCAAGCCUGAUCCAGCCAUUCCGCGUGCAGGAUGAAGGCCUUCGGUU
This 392-nucleotide ribosomal RNA is filed under the name uncultured bacterium. RNAcentral describes it as "bacterial SSU rRNA". It matches the Rfam family "Bacterial small subunit ribosomal RNA", at positions 30 to 423 of the family's 1533-position model. The record is from RNAcentral.